This 497-nucleotide ribosomal RNA is filed under the name uncultured bacterium. RNAcentral describes it as "partial 16S ribosomal RNA". It matches the Rfam family "Bacterial small subunit ribosomal RNA", at positions 28 to 507 of the family's 1533-position model. The record is from RNAcentral.
GAUGAACGCUGGCGGCGUGCCUAAUACAUGCAAGUCGAGCGAACAGACGAGGAGCUUGCUCCUCUGACGUUAGCGGCGGACGGGUGAGUAACACGUGGAUAACCUACCUAUAAGACUGGGAUAACUUCGGGAAACCGGAGCUAAUACCGGAUAAUAUAUUGAACCGCAUGGUUCAAUAGUGAAAGACGGUUUUGCUGUCACUUAUAGAUGGAUCCGCGCCGCAUUAGCUAGUUGGUAAGGUAACGGCUUACCAAGGCAACGAUGCGUAGCCGACCUGAGAGGGUGAUCGGCCACACUGGAACUGAGACACGGUCGAGACUCCUACGGGAGGCAGCAGUAGGGAAUCUUCCGCAAUGGGCGAAAGCUUGACGGAGCAACGCCGCGUGAGUGAUGAAGGUCUUCGGAUCGUAAAACUCUGUUAUUAGGGAAGAACAAAUGUGUAAGUAACUAUGCACGUCUUGACGGUACCUAAUCAGAAAGCCACGGCUAACUACGUG